Molecule: small nucleolar RNA, 100 nt
Organism: Otolemur garnettii (small-eared galago)
Lineage: Eukaryota; Metazoa; Chordata; Mammalia; Primates; Galagidae
Source: Ensembl
AUCCUUUCAUGGGUCAUAAGUGUGAUGGUUGGUUUUUCUUGUACCUGUCUGAGAUGUGCCUCCCUCAGAUCUUGUUACAGUGUUGGCAUAUUACCUGACA